GACCACUACACACCUCUGAUCUGACCGAAUCAGAACCCAAACCUUCCCAUGAGAUUACCUUCUCAUCCUCUUGAAAAUUAGGGCAUUGGGGCAUCCAAAAUCUGAAGCUAUACUGUAAAAGAGAAAGAAUCCCUGCAACCUUUUGCAAAACUGCAGCCUUUGGAUUCUACACCUUGUUCUUCCUCUCCCAAAAUUCUAUC
RNAcentral lists this long non-coding RNA (200 nucleotides) under Elaeis guineensis (African oil palm). RNAcentral describes it as "long non-coding RNA (EGUI_LNC031899)". Lineage: Eukaryota; Viridiplantae; Streptophyta; Magnoliopsida; Arecales; Arecaceae. The record is from RNAcentral.